UGCUGGCCUUCCAUCACCCCAGGUGAGACCCGGCCUGGACUUCCCCACGUCUUUCUCCCCGGUCCUACCCUGUGCCCUGGAGGACACCACGAGGCCCAGCCCGGUGCUGCUAGAGGUGUAGGACCCCCAUCCCUACUACACUCCAUCCUUUUAACUUCUCUCUUCGUGGGUUGCUUGCUUUCCUCAAAACGACAGCUUGACCACUUCCCCCUUCACUCUGCAAAUGGAAACCAACUGACAGAAACUUCUUUCACUUCCCCCGACCAAAGCUAUUCCCUUAGCAACGUCUGGAAUGAUAAUAGCUGAGCGAGCUUACAAUGACCCAGCCUUGCCCUAAAUGCUUCACCGGCCAACUCACUUCAUCUACCAUUUGGCCUUUUCCACUUUAACCAACAAACAGCAGGCACAGAGAGAUUAAGUGACUGGACUGGACUAGUCAUGGGCAGAACUGGGAUACGAUCUCGGGCAGACUGAAUUCAGAGGGCCCAGCACCUGUUACGGUUCCUAGAACAGAAAACAGAUGCAAGGAGCCCCAGUAGGGAUUGAGGUAUUGAUUUUAUUCCUGACAACAGUGCAAGUGCCCAUGGACCCUUGAAGUGGCUGGCCCUGCAAUGCCAGAUUACAGAAUGUACCUGGACCUUCUGAAGCCUCCAAACCAGACCUGUAUGAGUGGACAGGAAGGCCUGGCCUGACUUACAGUGUCUGUCAAGGUUCUCCAGACCAACAGAGUCAAUAGGAUGUGUACAUAUUUAUAUAGAGAGAUUUCUUAUAAGGAGUUGGCUCAUUCUAUUAUGGAAGCUGGCAAGUCCAAGAUCUAUAGGGUGGGCUGGCAGCCUGGAGACCUAGGGAAGAGCCAAUGCUGCAAUUCCAGUCUAAAGGCCAUCUGCUGACAGAGUUCCUUCUGCGUGGGAUGGUCAGUCUUUUUGUUCUAGGCAGGCUUUCCACUGAUUAGAUGAGGCCCACCCGUAUUAUGGUGGAUAAUCUGUUUUACUCAUGGUCUCCUAAUUUAAAUGUUAAUCUCAUCCAAUAGCACAAUCACAGAAACAUUCAGAAUGAUGUUUGACCAAAUAUCUGGGGACAGUGGCCCAGCCAAGUUGGCACAGAAUCACACUCACCUAGGCUCAGGUAUCAAAACUGGGGAAUGAUCCCCUUUCUCCGGCCAGAGGUCUAGGUGGCAGAGAAGACCCAUGACAUGUUGGCUGGAGGUGGAGAGCUCAUUCUCUUUGAAGUUUGACAUCAUCAGAGGCUCAGACACAGUUGCUGAACACAGUGUACUUGGGAACUUGGUCUAACACGAGGCUGUCCCUGGCCCAGGAGGGUGAGACACUGAACUGUAGAAUGCUGGCGCUGGAACAGGGCAGGAGUUUGUCUUCUCCCCAGGUUGACCCUCAUCUGCUUAUUUUUCAGAUAAAAUUUCAACCCAGACUUUUUUCCCCGCAUUGUUUCCAUGAUCCUUGGAUAAUGAGGACCGUUUUCCAUAUGCCGGGGUGGGAAAAGCCUCCCUAAGCAAGACACAAAAUGACAAAGGAAAAGACUCAUAACUGACCACUAAAAAUUUGAUAAUUUUGCAUGGCAGUCUGAUAAAAAGCACACAACUCACUGGGUGCAAAUCUGGGUAGCAUUUAUAGUUGCUAAAGGUCAGUAACUAUGACAUAUAGAAGCACAUUCAAAUCGUGAAGAAAAAGAAAAGUAACUCAGUGGCAAAAUUGGUAAAAUUUGUGGCUGGUGAAUUCACAGAAGAAAAAGGGGAACAAGGGUGGAAGAGUGGUUCACAAACCUGUGAAAAGGCGCUGACACUUAAUCUGAGGAAUGCAAAAUAGAACUUCAAAACACCAUUUCAACCCACAGCCUGCCAGAGACUGGAGAUAACAUCCAGUACCAGUUCAGGUACAAGUAAAUGCACACUCGCGCACACAUUUUCUCUCUCUCGGAGAUACGGCUCAGCACAGCGUAGCCAAGUGAAAAUGUGUGUGUCUUUGAACACAGCAAUUCCACGUCCAGGGAUAGAAACCUGCCCCACGGAAGUGUUCACACAUGCUCACACAGAACCGCCUGCAAGUAGUUUGCUGAAGGAUUGUCGUAGAAAAAUUGGAAAUAUUGCCAUUACUGUGAAUAACAGCUAAUCCUUACAGAAAGUCUUCUCUGGGUCAGAACUUGCCUAAGCACUUUACAUAAAUGAACUCACUUAAUCCCCCGUGACAACCCUGUAAGUGCUUUUAUUAGCCUCAUUGUGCAGAGAAGGACACGAAACGGGGAAGAAGCGGUUUAUUCCUGGCCUCGAGCUCGCGGGACGCAGAAUUGCUGUGUGAUGUGACCCCGGGCGGUCUGGCAAGGAGCCUGUGCUCCGCAUCGCUUGCUGUACCGCCUGCAUCCAGUAUAGGAGAGCUUAAAUAAAUCGUAGA
Long non-coding RNA from Canis lupus familiaris (dog), 2402 nucleotides. RefSeq lists it as uncharacterized. Lineage: Eukaryota; Metazoa; Chordata; Mammalia; Carnivora; Canidae. The transcript has 3 exons. The record is from RefSeq and is a predicted model, not a curated record.